This 820-nucleotide ribosomal RNA is filed under the name Parrhinotermes sp. My26Pa. RNAcentral describes it as "partial 16S ribosomal RNA". The stretch from base 423 to 617 matches the Rfam family "Archaeal large subunit ribosomal RNA", at positions 1801 to 2102 of the family's 2987-position model. Lineage: Eukaryota; Metazoa; Arthropoda; Insecta; Blattodea; Rhinotermitidae. The record is from RNAcentral.
UGUUUCCCGAUUUUAAGAGGAGUUAAUGGUUUAUUAUAGUUGCUGUUUUAUAAGUAUUGUUAAUAUUCUGUUAGUAGUGAAAUGUUAUUCGUCUUUGUUGGUUUCUGGUUUUUCAAGAAAUGAAUUUAAUUCAUGCGUCUUAUUUAAAUUUAUUAUUUGUUUAUUAAGUUUUAAUUUGCUGUUAAUAUUAGGGGGGAUUAGCUCUCUAUUAUAUGUUUAUUAUAAUUUUGUUUAGUUCUGGAUUUUUGUUGAUUUUAUAUUGAUUUUCUAUUUGAUUAUGUUAAAAUUUUAUUUUUUGUUUGUUUAAUUUUUUUCUAUUUAAUUUUUUAUUGAAAUGUUAUUUAUAAUUUUUUUUGUUUUGCAUUUAUUGUUGAAUUAGUAAAUCUUUUUUAUAUUUUGUUGAUAUUUAUUUGUUAAUUUCUUCUUAGGAAUUAGGCAAAAUUUUUGUGUCCGCCUGUUUAACAAAAACAUCUUUUCUUGUUAGUUUUUGAAGUAUGGCCUGCCCACUGAGUAUUUUGAAGGGCCGCGGUAUUUUGACCGUGCAAAGGUAGCAUAAUCAUUAGUUCUUUAAUUGUGAUCUGGAAUGAAUGGCUUGACGAGAUGCAGACUGUCUUAGAUUUUGUUGAAUUGUUUAUGUUGAAUUUGGUUUCUGAGUUAAAAUUCUCAGCUUUUUUUAUGGGACGAGAAGACCCUAUAGAGUUUUUAACACUUGCUUUUAUUUAUUUUUGGUUGGUUUAUUUCUAUUGAUGAUUAUAGNGGUUUGGUGGGGUGAUGGGAAGAAUUUAUUUAACUCUUCUUUCUUUUACAUUAUUAGGUUUUU